GGCUUUUGUCCCUCUGCAGUCCCCACCCAUGGCCCUUUGAGCUCUGCAACGUGCACGUUUGGAAACCAGCCUCUGUCACAAAAUCACCCACGUUCUUCCGGCCGCAAACCUUCGCCUCACGCGUCCUGGAGUUGAAGCCACUGAGAGGAGCCCCGAGGGGGGGAUGCCACACGCUGAGCUGGUGACAGGAGAGGAGCCACCGCCGCACUGUGGGAAAGCUGGAGCUGAGCUCAGCCAGACGGCCCCGGCCUCCUACGGGUGCGAAGCCUGCAAGUGGCAGGCGGUUGGCAAGGGGACACAGCUUUUGGCUACGAACUUGGACGUGCAUCUCCAUCCUCAGCCAGGCAGCCAGGACAGACUGCUGGGAAACGUCGAGGCUGGAUCCUCCUGCACUCUGAGUCCUUCUUCUCCGGUGUCAGUGGUUUAAGGAGGCCUUAGAGCAGAAACUCGCAGCCCUUAAUGGUGAUCACCUAUCCCAAGCUUUUAAAAAUCAGGACUAUUAUCCAUAUUUCCCAAUAGCAAGGCUCUCUGGUGGUGCAACGGCUAGACCAUACCGGAAGGACCAGUGACGGGAAAGCUCAAGAAGGGCCAGCAUUGUGUUUGCAGAAGGCAUCAAUGUAUUUUUACAGAAAAGAUACCUCUCAAAAAAAAAUCUUUUGACAUGCAUAAUUUGGGCUUACUGUGACUCUGAGAGAGGUUUGAGGCUUGAACCUUCAGUUGUUUCCGGGCUCAGUUUCUGCACGUCUCUAAGUCAGGGGCAAAUCCAGAUGAAAUACCUUGAAGGUGGCUAAUUUUCUUUCAUUUUCAGGGCUUGCCAGCACUAUCGGCAAGUCCAGUUCAUCUCCGUGCUGCGUGGCCAGCACCCCAGGUCCCCCCAUCCCCAUCUUUUCCUCUCUGAUGCUUGGCCCCUGAAUUCAUGGAAAGUACUCAGCAGUGGCGUGGGCGAGUGAUGGAGAGCUCUAGCGCUGGCCGAGCUGCCGAAGGAGCUGGUGACGUGGCAUUUUCCAGGCCGAUGCAGAAGUGAAGUCAGCUCUGCGCUCACGCUGGCGUGACUUGCUGCUUCCCCACCCCAACACGUGCAGGCGCUGCUCCCAGCACCUUGCAGCAGCCAUCUGCCGAAUCGCCUCCUCUGGAGGUGUCAGGCCCUGGCUGUGCAUCUGCUUCGCAUAUUUGCACUGCGCUCCCUCAGCUGUGGAAUAAGGGUCGAUCCAGGCAUGAGACCACAUCCGGCAACGGCCAAAGACCUAAUGUGAAGCGUAGUCUUUCUGCAAAGUGGCUGCUGCAUGCUCCACCUCCUCCCUGCUCUGCUCCAUUAACCCUCCCAAAUGCUUUAGGUUAAGCUGUGAAAAUCAGGGUGAACUCAAGAGAAGACCCUGCAGCUCCCACUGGUGGGAGAAGAGUUGGGGGUCCCCUUUCCUGCAUGAAUG
This 1427-nucleotide long non-coding RNA is filed under the name Struthio camelus australis. RNAcentral describes it as "lncRNA (ENSSCUG00000014006.1)". Lineage: Eukaryota; Metazoa; Chordata; Aves; Struthioniformes; Struthionidae. The record is from RNAcentral.